CCUACGGGAGGCAGCAGUGGGGAAUAUUGCACAAUGGGGGGAACCCUGAUGCAGCGACGCCGCGUGAGUGAAGAAGUAUUUCGGUAUGUAAAGCUCUAUCAGCAGGGAAGAAAAUGACGGUACCUGACUAAGAAGCCCCGGCUAACUACGUGCCAGCAGCCGCGGUAAUACGUAGGGGGCAAGCGUUAUCCGGAUUUACUGGGUGUAAAGGGAGCGCAGACGGCUGUGCAAGUCUGGAGUGAAAGGCGGGGGCCCAACCCCCGGACUGCUCUGGAAACUGUAAAGCUGGAGUGCAGGAGAGGUAAGCGGAAUUCCUAGUGUAGCGGUGAAAUGCGGAGAUAUUAGGAGGAACACCAGUGGCGAAGGCGGCUUACUGGACUGCAACUGACGUUGAGGCUCGAAAGCGUGGGGAGCAAACAGGAUUAGAUACCCUUGUAGUC
Molecule: ribosomal RNA, 440 nt
Filed under: uncultured bacterium
Lineage: Bacteria
Description: partial 16S ribosomal RNA
Rfam family: Bacterial small subunit ribosomal RNA
Source: RNAcentral